GGGCCCGCACAAGCGGUGGAGCAUGUGGUUCAAUUCGACGCAACGCGAAGAACCUUACCUGGGCUAGACAACGGCGGACCGUCCUAGAAAUAGGAUCUUCCCUUCGGGGACCGCCGGUUCAGGUGCUGCAUGGCUGUCGUCAGCUCGUGCCGUGAGGUGUUGGGUUAAGUCCCGCAACGAGCGCAACCCUUGUCCUUAGUUGCCACCAUUCAGUUGGGCACUCUAGGGAGACUGCCGGCGUUAAGCCGGAGGAAGGUGGGGACGACGUCAAGUCAUCAUGGCCCUUAUGUCCAGGGCCACACACGUGCUACAAUGGGCGGUACAAAGGGUCGCGAACCCGCGAGGGGGAGCCAAUCCCAAAAAGCCGCUCUCAGUUCGGAUUGGAGUCUGCAACUCGACUCCAUGAAGUUGGAAUCGCUAGUAAUCGCGGAUCAGCACGCCGCGGUGAAUACGUUCCCGGGCCUU
This 465-nucleotide ribosomal RNA is filed under the name uncultured bacterium. Its description in RNAcentral is "bacterial SSU rRNA". It matches the Rfam family "Bacterial small subunit ribosomal RNA", at positions 917 to 1382 of the family's 1533-position model. The record is from RNAcentral.